GCCCGGAUGGCGGAAUCGGCAGACGCAACAGACUUAAAAUCUGUCGCCCACAAGGCUUACGGGUUCAAGUCCCGUUCCGGGUA
RNAcentral lists this transfer RNA (83 nucleotides) under Lentisphaerota bacterium. RNAcentral describes it as "Lentisphaerae bacterium tRNA-Leu". It matches the Rfam family "tRNA". Rfam says of the family: Transfer RNA (tRNA) molecules are approximately 80 nucleotides in length. Their secondary structure includes four short double-helical elements and three loops (D, anti-codon, and T loops). The record is from RNAcentral. Lineage: Bacteria; Pseudomonadati; Lentisphaerota. RNAcentral also lists the same sequence under 1 other name.